RNAcentral lists this long non-coding RNA (544 nucleotides) under Homo sapiens (human). RNAcentral describes it as "non-protein coding lnc-C8orf86-7:2". Lineage: Eukaryota; Metazoa; Chordata; Mammalia; Primates; Hominidae. The record is from RNAcentral.
UAUGUAUAAGCUUAUACAUAUAAAUAUGUAUAAGCAUAUACAUAUGCUUAUAAGUAAAGAUAAGUAAAGCAUUGUGUUCAUCUCUUCUAAAUGGCCUUUAAUGACACUGAGUGUGUUUGGGGGUUUUUUUUACUAUAUUAUUGAAGAAGCCAGUCAUGAAGAAGAAAGCAGGAGUUUAUUUAAGACAGUGUACCUUUAAGAUGGACUCAGAAGUGUGUCACUAAAUUCCUUGCCCUUGAGCACAGCUGUACCUCAACCUUGUUGGAAUAAUUGUAGUCCUGAGGCCGCUUUCAUUCUGUUAUUAGUGAAUAUAAAGAUAGAUGUUUGUGUCACUUGCUCUGGUGAGUUGGUUUUGGUCUUGGUUGUUAUUCCACAGUUCGGCGGUCAGGCCUACAGCGACGUGGAACACACUUCAGUCCAGUGCCAUGCCUUAGAUGGAAUUGAGUGUGCCAGUCCUAGGACCUUUCUACGAGAAAAUAAACCUUGUAUAAAGUAUACCGGACACUACUUCAUAACCACUUUACUCUACUCCUUCUUCCUGGGA